UGGCAUCCAGUCCACUUAACCAUCAGUGUUUAAGGAAACCAUCUCUGAUAAGGAUGACUGAGGAAGAGUACUCUUUGGCUUGUUGACACCAGCACAGCUGACACACCCAGAUAUCUGUUUGGUCUCCUGUGAACUUUCAACCAGGAUUUAAGGAUGCCACUCUGGUUAAAAGCUGAAACAACUUCAAGGAAACUUCAGGGAAAAGAGAAGGCCUGGAAUCUGAUCCUCCACUUCAGAGAACAGGGAGAAAAAAGUACAUGUGAAAUACUACUACUUAUCCAUCUCCUGGCUCUGAGCAGUACAUGUCAGGUACAAGAGGGAAUUGUAGCUGGAAGACAGUAGAAGAGCCAUAGGAUAAGUCUCUAAGAGAAGGAAGAAAAGGCGCUAUGAAAGAAAACAAGUUUAAGAUAGUAGAAAAGCAUUCAAAGACUGCAACCUGAGGUGGUGGAGUCUAUGGCCCUUCUCCUUGAAUCUGAGUGAAAUUAGUGAGUCUUUCAAUCCAAAGACUACAGUCGUACCUCAACUAUCUACAGAGGACUGGUUCCAGGACUCCCAUGGAUCCCAAAAUCCAAGGAUGCUUCGAAUCCCUUAUAUAAAAUGGCAUGGUAUUUGCAUAUAACCUACAUGCAUCUUCAAAUAUGUUAAACCAUCUCUAGAUUACUUAUAAUACCAAAUACAAUGUAAUGCUAUGUAAACAGUUGUUACAAUGUAUUGUCAAAGACAAGCUCUCCUUGCCAAUCCCUGACCAAAUGAGAGAUUCAUGAGCAAAAUAAAUAGUUGCUGAUAUUUAAGGCACUAAGUUUGGGGCAAUGUAUUACACAGCAAUAAAUAACUGGAACAGCAUAGUAAAUUCUAGUUAAAAAUACUAAACUACUAAGUUUUAGUUAACAUACAUGCUGAAGUUAAGGGUGUGGUAUACUAACAACUGCAACUUACUUUGAAAAGCAUAAAAAAAGACACUAGAAGAAGACAGGAUGGAUAGAUGGACAAGAUAGAAGACAAAAAUAGAACAAAAUGUUGUGAAAUUAUAUUCUACAAUUAUUUUAAAGUCUGUGUGGUUUGAAAAAUUGUACGAUAAAAUGAAGAGUGAAAUAAAGACAUUUCCAUACAAA
This 1112-nucleotide non-coding RNA is filed under the name Pan troglodytes (chimpanzee). Lineage: Eukaryota; Metazoa; Chordata; Mammalia; Primates; Hominidae. The record is from RNAcentral.